AUGGGGGUAUAGCCACACAUUGUUGGAAAUACCUCAUACAGAAAUUGUGUGGUUUUGCUUUACUCACAGGGAUAUUUCUUAGGUCUGUGGGAAGUGACUACAAGAUAGUU
This 110-nucleotide small nucleolar RNA is filed under the name Castor canadensis (American beaver). The record is from RNAcentral. Lineage: Eukaryota; Metazoa; Chordata; Mammalia; Rodentia; Castoridae.